This 88-nucleotide transfer RNA is filed under the name Enterococcus sp. RNAcentral's name for it is "tRNA-Leu". It matches the Rfam family "tRNA". Rfam says of the family: Transfer RNA (tRNA) molecules are approximately 80 nucleotides in length. Their secondary structure includes four short double-helical elements and three loops (D, anti-codon, and T loops). Further hydrogen bonds mediate the characteristic L-shaped molecular structure. tRNAs have two regions of fundamental functional importance: the anti-codon, which is responsible for specific mRNA codon recognition, and the 3' end, to which the tRNAs corresponding amino acid is attached (by aminoacyl-tRNA synthetases). tRNAs cope with the degeneracy of the genetic code in two manners: having more than one tRNA (with a specific anti-codon) for a particular amino acid; and 'wobble' base-pairing, i.e. permitting non-standard base-pairing at the 3rd anti-codon position. The record is from RNAcentral. Lineage: Bacteria; Bacillati; Bacillota; Bacilli; Lactobacillales; Enterococcaceae.
GGGGGUAUAGCAGAAUUGGUAUAUGCGGUCGGUUCAGGGCCGAUGUCGAAAUGAAACUUCAUUGUGGGUUCGAGUCCCAUUACCCCUA